GGGUCCGUAGCUCAAUGGUAGAGCAGUAGCCUUUUAAGCUAUUGGUUCGGGGUUCGAUCCCCCGCGGACUCACCC
RNAcentral lists this transfer RNA (75 nucleotides) under Candidatus Roizmanbacteria bacterium CG_4_10_14_0_2_um_filter_39_13. Its description in RNAcentral is "tRNA-Lys". It matches the Rfam family "tRNA". Rfam says of the family: Transfer RNA (tRNA) molecules are approximately 80 nucleotides in length. Their secondary structure includes four short double-helical elements and three loops (D, anti-codon, and T loops). The record is from RNAcentral. Lineage: Bacteria; Candidatus Roizmaniibacteriota.